GAAAAGAAUUUCUAAUUGAAAUUGACUUGGAGAAAAGCUUCUGCAGAUAAGAACGACACUGUGUUCUGUGGAUAAAAGAUGCUGGAACAUUUAAACCAUCUCAAGAUUUAAAACAUGAUCCUGUUUGUUGAAAAUGGAUCUCUGGUUGAGUUAUAUUC
Saccostrea cuccullata (small rock oyster) is the source of this 158-nucleotide long non-coding RNA. RefSeq lists it as uncharacterized. Lineage: Eukaryota; Metazoa; Mollusca; Bivalvia; Ostreida; Ostreidae. The record is from RefSeq and is a predicted model, not a curated record. The transcript has 3 exons.